RNAcentral lists this long non-coding RNA (832 nucleotides) under Homo sapiens (human). RNAcentral describes it as "HSALNT0334631". Lineage: Eukaryota; Metazoa; Chordata; Mammalia; Primates; Hominidae. The record is from RNAcentral.
CGCGCGGGUCUGCGCAUCCCGCCCCCGGGUCGGGAAGGGGCGGAGCUGGGCGUCACCCGCCCCCGGCGGUCUCCUCCUCCCGGCCGCUCCCCCGAGCCGAGCCCGCCGCGGUCACAGCCACCCGCGGGAAGCUCGUGGCCGGGACCCCGAGGCGGGAGCGCGGGCUGGGCCGGGCUGGGCUACGCGCACGGGCUCGGCCGCCGCCCCUGCCGGGUCUCUUGCCUGCUGUGUACUGCUUUUACUGCCAGAAAUGUUCUCCUCACCUGGGAGCCAGUUGGCUGCCAACACUGAAUGUGUCCACUUGGUCCAUAACAGCAUUAAGAACAGAGCAGACAGCAAGUAAAUAAAUCGUAUUGACUAAUUGAUCAAGAUAGCUUUGCUAGUUGAUACGGUUUAGAUCUGUGUCUCCACCCAAAUCUCAUGUUCAGUUAUAAUCCCCAGUGUUGGAAGUGGGGCAUGGUGACUAGAUCAUGGGGGCAGUUUCUCAUGGCUUCACAUCAUCCCCAUUGAAGUUGUCAUCCUGAUGGUUCUCAUGAGAUCUGGUUGUCUAAAAGUAUGUGACACCUCCCCACUCCCUCUCUUACUCCUGUUCCAGCAUUGUGAAGUACUUGCUCCCCCUUUGCCUUCUGCCAUGAUUGUAACCUUCCUGAGGCCUCCCCAGAAAGUGGGCAGAUGCCAGCAUCAUGCUUCCUGUACAGCCUGCAGAACCGUGGCCAAUUAAACCUCUUUGCUUUGUAAAUUACCCAGUGUCCAGUAUUUCUUUAUAACAAUGAGAGAAUGGGCUAAUACACUAGUCAAGUUCAAGAAACUUUGGUUCUCCAUUUUUCCUAUC